This 1476-nucleotide ribosomal RNA is filed under the name uncultured Bordetella sp. Its description in RNAcentral is "partial 16S-23S ribosomal RNA intergenic spacer". It matches the Rfam family "Bacterial small subunit ribosomal RNA". Lineage: Bacteria; Pseudomonadati; Pseudomonadota; Betaproteobacteria; Burkholderiales; Alcaligenaceae. The record is from RNAcentral.
AGUUCGAUUCUGGCUCGGAAUUGAACGCUGGCGGGAUGCUUUACACAUGCAAGUCGAACGGCAGCGCGGACUUCGAUGCGGUGGCGAUGGCGAACGGGUGAGUAAUGUAUCGGAACGUGCCUGGCGUGGCGGGGGAUAAACUGCGAAAAGGCGUAGCUAAUACCACAACCGCCCCUUCGAGGGGAAAGCAGGGACCUUCCGGGCCCUCGCACUAAUGAAACGGCCGAUAUCGGAUUAGCUGAACGGUGGGGUAACGGCUCACCAAGGCGACGAUCCGUAGCUGGUUUGAGAGGACAUUUGACCAGCCACACUGGGACUGAGACACAGCCAGACUCCCUACAGGAGGGCAGCGUUGGGGGAAUUUUGGACAAUGGGGAAACCUGAUCCAGCCAUCCCGCGUGCGAUGAAGGCCUUCAGGUUUGUAACUUUUUGGCAGGAAAGAAACGGCACGGGAUAAUACCCCGUGCAACUGACGGUACCUGCAGAAUAAGCACCGGCUAACUGCGUGCCAGCAGCGCGGUAAUACGUAGGGUGCAAGCGUUAAUCGGAAUUACUGGGCGUAAAGCGUGCGCAAACGGUUGGAAGAAAAGAUGUGAAAUCCCAGAGCUUAACUUUGGAACUGCAUUUUUAACUACCGAGCUGGAGACAAUAAUCAGGAGACAAUUCCGCGUGUAGCAGUAGAAAUGCGUAGAUUGCGGAGGAACACAAGCGAUGGCGAAACAACCUCUGGAAGAUAACAUGACGCUCUUGCAGCGAUGAGCAAACAGGAUUAGAUACCCUGGUAGUCACGCCCUAAACGAUAUCCAACUAGCUGUUGGGGCCUUCGCGUUGCAGUAGCGCAACUAACGUGUGAAGUUAAGCACGCCUAAGUCUGAUCCUGGAAUUAAAACUCAAAAGGAAUUGACGGGGACCCGCACAAGCGGUGGAUGAUGUGGAUUAAUUCGAUGCAACGCGAAAAACACCACCUACCCUUGACGUAUCUGCGGAAUCCAGAAAGUUGGGAGUGCUCAUAAAGAGAACAGACUGGUGCUGCAUGGCUGUCGUCAGCUCGUGUCGUGAGAUCGGUUAAAUUCCCGCAACGAGCGCAACCCUUGUCGUGAUUGCUGAAGGGGGCAUCUAAUGAGACUGCCGGUGACAAACCGGAGGAAGAGCGAGGAUGACGUCAAGUCCUCUAUGGCCCUUAUGGUAGGGCUUCACACGUCAUACAAUGGUCGGGACAGAGGUCGCCAACCCGCGAGAGGUAAUCCCAGAGAAACCCGAUCGUAGUCGGAUCGCGGUCUGCAACUCGACUGCGUGAAGUCGAAUCCUUCAGUAAUCGCGGAUCAGCAUGUCGCGGUGAAUACGUUCCCGGGUCUUAUACACACCGCCCGUCACACCAUGGGAGUGGGUCUUACCAGAAGUAGUUAGCCCUAACCAUCAAGGAGGGCGAUUACCACGGUAGGAUUCAUGACUGGGGUGAAGUCGUAACAAGGUAGC